This 1016-nucleotide ribosomal RNA is filed under the name Cladosporium oxysporum. Its description in RNAcentral is "SSU rRNA". It matches the Rfam family "Eukaryotic small subunit ribosomal RNA", at positions 74 to 1099 of the family's 1831-position model. Lineage: Eukaryota; Fungi; Ascomycota; Dothideomycetes; Cladosporiales; Cladosporiaceae. The record is from RNAcentral.
CUAUACGGUGAACUGCGAAUGGCUCAUUAAAUCAGUUAUCGUUUAUUUGAUAGUACCUUACUACAUGGAUAACCGUGGUAAUUCUAGAGCUAAUACAUGCUAAAAACCUCGACUUCGGAAGGGGUGUAUUUAUUAGAUAAAAAACCAAUGCCCUUCGGGGCUCCUUGGUGAAUCAUAAUAACUUAACGAAUCGCAUGGCCUUGCGCCGGCGAUGGUUCAUUCAAAUUUCUGCCCUAUCAACUUUCGAUGGUAGGAUAGUGGCCUACCAUGGUAUCAACGGGUAACGGGGAAUUAGGGUUCGACUCCGGAGAGGGAGCCUGAGAAACGGCUACCACAUCCAAGGAAGGCAGCAGGCGCGCAAAUUACCCAAUCCCGACACGGGGAGGUAGUGACAAUAAAUACUGAUACAGGGCUCUUUUGGGUCUUGUAAUUGGAAUGAGUACAAUUUAAAUCCCUUAACGAGGAACAAUUGGAGGGCAAGUCUGGUGCCAGCAGCCGCGGUAAUUCCAGCUCCAAUAGCGUAUAUUAAAGUUGUUGCAGUUAAAAAGCUCGUAGUUGAACCUUGGGCCUGGCUGGCCGGUCCGCCUCACCGCGUGUACUGGUCCGGCCGGGCCUUUCCUUCUGGGGAACCUCAUGCCCUUCACUGGGCGUGUUGGGGAACCAGGACUUUUACUUUGAAAAAAUUAGAGUGUUCAAAGCAGGCCUUUGCUCGAAUACAUUAGCAUGGAAUAAUAGAAUAGGACGUGUGGUUCUAUUUUGUUGGUUUCUAGGACCGCCGUAAUGAUUAAUAGGGAUAGUCGGGGGCAUCAGUAUUCAAUCGUCAGAGGUGAAAUUCUUGGAUUGAUUGAAGACUAACUACUGCGAAAGCAUUUGCCAAGGAUGUUUUCAUUAAUCAGUGAACGAAAGUUAGGGGAUCGAAGACGAUCAGAUACCGUCGUAGUCUUAACCAUAAACUAUGCCGACUAGGGAUCGGACGGUGUUAGUAUUUUGACCCGUUCGGCACCUUACGAGAAAUC